AGCGCUCUUAGCGAGCAUAAAGCGACAUAAAUCAGCCUGAACCAGGCGAAGAGCCUCCUUCGCUCUCCUCCCGCUGCUGAAGGUGCAGAGCCGCCGUCUUGUGACGUCAGAGCGAGGACGCGAUGCGCGUGCGGCGCUGGAGCACAUGGAGCAGCGCGAGGACGAGAUUUAGCAGAGCGGCUAACGCUGAAUCCUCUUGGAUGAAGAAAUGACAUUUUAGCUGCCAGAAAAUGGACAAGUGGACGUUUUUGGAAACAGCUGGACGAAACGGGAGGUUUUAUUUGUCGUCAGAGCGACUAAUACGAGGAGGAAACCACGUCCAGACAUUUAGCUGAGCAUGUUUAUCUCCUCCUCCGAGCUCCUCCUGCCCUGCCACAGGAUAUGAAACCUUCAGUUAAGAAGGGGCGUGAAGACGAGAGGCCCUUGACAUGUUGACUGGAGCUCAAGAACUUGGUCUUCUGUAGUGAAAGUCUCUGUCACUAAGUGUUCCUGCUGCUGAUAUUCUAUGGCUAGAGCUGGAUCAGCUGUCCACUUUGCCAAAGUACGCAUUUUGGGCAUCAAUAUUGGAAGAAUAUCAUAGAGUCUGCACCCUUACCCAGAGGGGGUGUUGACAAGGAAUCCACAGCUCGCUGAUGUGCCCACAACAGGCUCUCCUCUAAGCGCCCAGACACAUCAGGCCUGCAGUAAAAGUGUCAGCUGAAUACAGAUCAUCUUCGGCCUGAUCUGUAAUUCUGAGUGAUAUAUAGCAGGCAAGUCUAGAUGGAGAGGCACACAGCAUCUGUGCACGAUUGUGAUGUCCCAGACUAGCAUGUCCCCUGAAACCUUACAGAACAUAUUUCCACUGAAUGUCAUCAUAAAUCAACAAGUGAUCUCUCCAGAAUGGUCAGCUGAUCAACAGGCAGCAAACUACGCACGCUACAUUCCAUCUGGCUGAGAGAGAAAGUUGGCCUGCCCUCAGCCCAGCUGAGUGAGAGAAUGCACUGAGGAGGCUUUCCCAACUGUUUUUUCCCUUUCCCUUGGAUACUUUGCCCAUUUGGAGUGGAAAGAUGGCUGUGAUCAGACAACUGAUGAAGCAAGAACAAAGACCCCCGGGUCACUGGGCGAACAGCAAUAAUCAAAGCUACACCACAUGUACCUUGAGCUCAUCGAAGCGCAGCGUGAAGUGCAGGAUCUCAGCGAACUGCCGUGCCAGAGCCUGCUCCUGCUCCAGGUGCUGCGUGGGGCUACAGCGAGCACUUGUUAGGAACCCCAGCAGGCCAUGCAGUGUGCCCUCUAUAAGAGAGACAGGAGAGAAGAGGGAAGGUUAACGGCAGUUCUGUUCAGUAAGUAAUGUAAUAGACAGAUACACAGACAGAGAAACAGAUGGAUCAAUCUAUGCUAUGAAUCAAUAAUAUUUAUAAGCACUGAAGGAUGAAGUGACCGAUCAGUCAAUAAUUUAAAUGGAGAGUAGACAAAAGGUGCUAAUAAAAAAUAAAGGGGAGGAUAAAGAACAGCAACUGAAUCCAAAUGAAUGUUGUCUUGACUAAGGUUGUCCUUAAAAUUUCUAUUUCAUUAGAAGACCAGCAGAUUGAUCUAUAAUGUGGUAUUACUCUCUUCACUCUGAUAAGCUAAACAAUAAGCAGCAAAAGGACAAAAUUCUCUGGCUGUCUCUUUAUUGUACCAGAACACAGGGGAGCCACAAGAACUCUUCUAUUCAGAUCGCAUCCACUUGCAUUUUUCACCAUCUAGUCUAAUUUCUGGCAGAAGAACAGAAAUCUCGGCACCCAGCAGGGAGAUGUGAAGUUAGCCUGGGUCUUUGAAGCCUCUGCCCUGCCUCUUCUCCAGAGAGCACUCUGAUUGGCUGGUGAUUAUGUGAGAUUAGAGGACGUGUCACAGUUAAUUGGGUCAUGGCCUACUUCUCUACAUGUAAGGCCCAUUUCACUCAUGAAUCAAUCCAGCCAACAGGCUGACAAUAACAAACACACCAGGAUCUGUAACGCCUCUCUGACCAAUAAGGGUUAAAUAAUCUGUUAAAGUCAUUGGAGCUAAUAAUAGAUCACAAUAUACAGAAAAGGGGUUAACAGAACCCCAUUUGUCUGAUCGAUUGAGGAAGACAGAAUAUAGGACAGAAAAUAACUAAUUAGAUUAUGACUGUAGCUUGCAGAACAAUUUCCCAGAAUAUGAGAAUUUCCACAUUUACGCUGCUACACACAAAGACCAAAAGUAACAUAUACAGGAUGUAUUAAAUGACAUCUUAGUUAUUCAAGGAAUUAUAAACCAAGCUCAACACUGCGGGGACAUGUACAAUGCCCUCAUCUUGGAUCAUCUGCACAGCUUUAUGCUUUUAUUUUCCUGCAAGGUGGCCUACUCUUCAAACAUCAUUCAUGAGUGUAAUGUGGAUCAUCUUGCAGAAAAAGUCGUUUAGACCUUUCAGUCAUUAUUGUGUGUUCAGACAUUAAGGCACUUUCAACUUGAUUUUUUUUUUCUUUUCAUGUAGCAAAAGCUAAUAUUCCUUUAAAUAAUUAAUUUUAAUGGAUAUGGCUAACAGCAUUCUGACACUUAAGCAAUAGUCUUACUGUCAUAGUAAACACAAUUUCUUUCAGAGUUAACACAAACCACUAAGGAGCUGGCUAACUGACAAUGUUUGAACUGGUUAUUGCUUUGGAUUUUUCCUGAAACCAUUGUUAUGCAUUAUAUUCCCAAAACCUCCUUUAUUGAGAAGCAAAGGAUAUACAUAUAUUUAUAAAUAUCUUUAUUAAAAUAGCUUUCUAGACUUAUGCUAUGGUUUUAUUAGUUUCUCAAACUUCUCUGUGAAACAAGCUUGGAACACUUUCAUUUAUAUUGAUUCAUUUCAUGGAAUUUGAACCACACUGUUUGUGUUACCACUUGUAAAUAAAAUUUUGCUGCAUACAAGCA
Pygocentrus nattereri (red-bellied piranha) is the source of this 2895-nucleotide long non-coding RNA. RefSeq lists it as uncharacterized. Lineage: Eukaryota; Metazoa; Chordata; Actinopteri; Characiformes; Serrasalmidae. The transcript is spliced from 7 exons. The record is from RefSeq and is a predicted model, not a curated record.